AGUAGAGGUGGGAUUUCACCAUGUUGGUCAGGCUGGUCUCAAACUCCUGACCUCAGGUGAUCCACCCACC
Molecule: microRNA precursor, 70 nt
Organism: Rhinopithecus bieti (black snub-nosed monkey)
Lineage: Eukaryota; Metazoa; Chordata; Mammalia; Primates; Cercopithecidae
Source: Ensembl